UUUUCUUUUUUUAAUUUCCAUAGAACGUACCUUGUGUUACUGGGUCAUUGGGACUGGCUCCACACGCAAUGAGUAUCCUUAAAUCAUCCUAGAAAACAAAGGAAUCAACUGAACUUCUCCAUCGUAGCUCGGUUGGCAUUUCUCCGUCGCAACAUCAUUGGAAGCGGUGCCCAGAGACAGCAGCACAUGAUGCAGACACCGCCGACGAUGUGAAAACAAACAGCAAAACUUUGCGUUAACACCUGAAUAUAGCCUGCAACCGGUUGGAUAAGUUAAGACCGAAAGCGGCUGCUAGUUUAUCCAUACCAAGUGUUUGGACAAUCACCACCACUUGCAUACCAGUGAUUCCUCCAACUCCAAUGCCGUAGAUAACGCAGCUUAUUACCAUGCCAACGAAAUCAGUGGAAAAUGCCAGAGCUAAAAGGUACAAUGAUAGAUGGCAAAUUCGAUUAAAAAGACGGUGAGAGUCGUAAUAUAUUUGGAAAAUUUUCCAGCCAGAAUGGGAAUAGCAAGACGGGCAACAGUAUCUGACGCUGCUAGAAUGGUAACCAAAGAUGCAGCCGCUGUUGGUGGAACCCCCACACUUUGAGCAAAUGACGGGACCAGGACGUUGAACUGCUGAUUUAAAUCGAGGAUGCUAGCAGCCGGUGGACAACGAGGCAUGAAUUGGAGCCAUUUUGGUCGUUCGUCAGUUUGCGUGCGAGUCUUCAACUGUUUUUGCAUCUGCGCUAGCGACAUAG
This is a long non-coding RNA of Daphnia carinata, 740 nucleotides long. RefSeq lists it as uncharacterized. The record is from RefSeq and is a predicted model, not a curated record. The transcript is spliced from 5 exons. NCBI's taxonomy places the organism in Eukaryota, Metazoa, Arthropoda, Branchiopoda, Diplostraca, Daphniidae.